RNAcentral lists this ribosomal RNA (392 nucleotides) under uncultured bacterium. RNAcentral's name for it is "partial 16S ribosomal RNA". It matches the Rfam family "Bacterial small subunit ribosomal RNA", at positions 523 to 918 of the family's 1533-position model. The record is from RNAcentral.
AUACGUAGGGGGCGAGCGUUGUCCGGAAUCAUUGGGCGUAAAGGGCGCGCAGGCGGCCGUCCAAGUCCGGUGUUAAAUGGUCGGGCUCAACCCGAUCAUGCGCUGGAAACUGGGCGGCUUGAGUCCCGUAGGGGAUGCCGGAAUUCCAGGUGUAGGGGUGAAAUCUGUAGAUAUCUGGAAGAACACCGAUGGCGAAGGCAGGCAUCUGGCCGGAGACUGACGCUGAGGCGCGAAGGCGCGGGGAGCGAACAGGUUUAGAUACCCUGGUAGUCCGCGCAGUAAACGAUGCGCACCAGGUGUCGGGCGGCAGCGCCCGGUACCGGAGCUAACGCGAUGAGUGCGCCGCCUGGGGAGUAUGCCCGCAAGGGUGAAACUCAAAUGAAUUGACGGGG